RNAcentral lists this unclassified non-coding RNA (183 nucleotides) under Glomus sp. RNAcentral describes it as "partial contains 5.8S ribosomal RNA and internal transcribed spacer 2". The stretch from base 1 to 71 matches the Rfam family "5.8S ribosomal RNA", at positions 84 to 154 of the family's 154-position model. Lineage: Eukaryota; Fungi; Glomeromycota; Glomeromycetes; Glomerales; Glomeraceae. The record is from RNAcentral.
GUGAAUCAUCGAAUUUUUGAACGCAACUUGCACUUUCUGGUAUUCCGGAAAGUAUGCCUGUUUGAGGGUCAGGUAAAUAAAAAUCGGUGGUGUUGCUGCCUUUCGUGGUGACUCGUCGGAAUUGCGUUUUCUUACGUUCGGUUAAGCUGCUUAAAAUUUUUGCAUGAUUUUCGAACGUAUUUA